UUGAAUGUAGUGACUUGAUGGGUUGUUGCUGGCUUAAUCAAGCAUGUGCACACUUGUCUUGUUAACUUACUAUUCAUCCACCUGUGCACCUUUUGUAGUCUUUUUGGGGGCUGGGGAAAAAUGGCAGCUUGCCGGCUUGAACCUCCCACUGGAGACUAUGUUUUUUCAUAUACCAUGUAGUAUGUUACAGAAUGUUGUCAAUGGGCACUUGUGGCCUAUAUAAAAUCUAUA
This 231-nucleotide unclassified non-coding RNA is filed under the name uncultured Agaricaceae. RNAcentral's name for it is "sequence contains ITS1". Lineage: Eukaryota; Fungi; Basidiomycota; Agaricomycetes; Agaricales; Agaricaceae. The record is from RNAcentral.